GAUGAACGCUGGCGGCGUGCCUAAUACAUGCAAGUCGAGCGAACGGACGAGAAGCUUGCUUCUCUGAUGUUAGCGGCGGACGGGGGAGUAACACGUGGAUACCCUACCUAUAAGACUGGGAUAACUUCGGGAAACCGGAGCUAAUACCGGAUGAUAUUUUGAACCGCAUGGUUCAAAAGUGAAAGACGGUCUUGCUGUCACUUAUAGAUGGAUCCGCGCUGCAUUAGCUAGUUGGUAAGGUAACGGCUUACCAAGGCAACGAUGCAUAGCCGACCUGAGAGGGUGAUCGGCCACACUGGAACUGAGACACGGUCCAGACUCCUACGGGAGGCAGCAGUAGGGAAUCUUCCGCAAUGGGCGAAAGCCUGACGGAGCAACGCCGCGUGAGUGAUGAAGGUCUUCGGAUCGUAAAACUCUGUUAUUAGGGAAGAACAUAUGUGUAAGUAACUGUGCACAUCUUGACGGUACCUAAUCAGAAAGCCACGGCUAACUACGUG
This 497-nucleotide ribosomal RNA is filed under the name uncultured bacterium. RNAcentral describes it as "partial 16S ribosomal RNA". It matches the Rfam family "Bacterial small subunit ribosomal RNA", at positions 28 to 507 of the family's 1533-position model. The record is from RNAcentral.